RNAcentral lists this unclassified non-coding RNA (1735 nucleotides) under Hevea brasiliensis (rubber tree). Lineage: Eukaryota; Viridiplantae; Streptophyta; Magnoliopsida; Malpighiales; Euphorbiaceae. The record is from RNAcentral.
AACAAGGAUUAAGGAGAAAACAAAAAUAGAAAUUAAACUAACUUGGCUAAAAGUGCGUCUGAACUAACUUCAGCAUCUGACAACAUUAAAAGAAUUGCCAUAAAGGAAUUAAAAUAUAAUCAAACCCAUUAUACCUAGACUGCUUUCUAAUAUCUUUAAAAAGUCCUACUGUACCAUUGAUUUGCUACCAACUAAAUAAAUGGAGCCUAGCCUGCUCAUGAACAAACCAGAUGCCUUCACUCCUGGUCAGGAUUUGGACAUGCCGAGUGAUGAAAAAUGGAACUUAAAAGUAGAGGCUAAGCUCUCCAUUUAUUAAAAGCAUUACCAAUUGAAUUUCUCCUUCUCCAUUGUAGUGGUUAAAAUUAGUUGUGGAAAUAAUAAAUAAGCAUGGUCUGAAGGGGAUAUUUUGAAACUAACAAACUCAGACAAUGGCCGAGAAUGAGAGAGAUGUGCUCUUGCUGCAGAGUUCUUCAAGUAGCAGCCCAUUCUUUUCGAAUGUCAAAGGUGUAGUUGAUCUCCAAGUAGCACUUGUCAUCAUCAUCAAGAAACUUUGAUCUUGCAGAAUAUGAUCCUCUGGCAAACAUGCCUGAUGGGGUGGUCUCUUCUGGCAUCAGAUGUGUGUAAGCCUCUGGCUGAGGACUGAAGGUUCCAAGCAUCUCUUUUGAGCUAUCCACCCUAACACCAGUUUUCCAGACAGUGUUGGUGUAUUUGAGGCCAGAUACAAUGUUGUUGCUAACUUGGAAGGAGAACAUCAAGUUAUAGUGACUACCUUCUUUCAGUGUAAACCAUGUGCCCUUGGGGUUUCCAUCCUCAGGGACAGAUAAUACAAUGUCAGGUCUGCCUGGGGAGAUGAUUGACAGACUAAGAAUUUUCACUUCUGGUUCAAGAGUUUCUCCAACAUUUUCAAAAUCCACAGUUCCAAGAAGUUGUUCCUUCCAUUUCCUGAGGCUUUCAUCAUCCUUGUCCUUCUCAAGUUGUUCUUUGAGGGUGCAUUGAGGACCAAGAUGAAUCUUGUUGCCUUCUUCGUCAUCUUCAUCCUCAUGAUCAGUUGCAUCCAUGGAAUUCUCACUCAUCUGCCUCCCAUAUUUGUCUGAUGAACCAUCACCAACCUCAUGAUGGGAUUUUUCUGUUUCCAAAUUGCCAGCAUUCUCCUCAGCACCCUCAUUUUUGUUUCCAUUAAGCUCCAUGUUAGUGGUCGAACUGGGCACAGCUCCAACAGCCAAGGACAUCAAAUCAUCAACAGUGACAAUAAUCGACCCAAAACAGUCCCACACACUUACACAAAGCAAGGAAAGAUUACAAGAUUACACACAAAAGGUUUAAAGAAGAGAGACGCCCAUAGUAAAGGUAAAAAUGGGAACAGAAUUUAUGUCUUGAAAUGAAAAGACUUGUGUUGCUGUGCCAAGAAAAUAGGUAAGAAAAAAGGUGACAAUUAUCCUUUUCUCUACAAGCUUAGAUAAACAGACCCACAAGCAAAAGAAGAAAAGACAAAAGAGAAACUGGGUUUGUCUCUCCUAGAAGCUUUUAGUGGUGGGCUGUCGAAGGAAGUUGAAUCUUUUGGGAGGGAGAGGCAGAGAGAGAGAGAGAGAGCGAACUGAAAUGGGGAGAACGGAGAUUUCUAGACAAUAAUAGGAAAGAGUGGCGGUGGGUGUAGUGGAGGCUGUCUGUGUCUGUAUGUGAAGAUAUGAGUUAGCUUUAUGUGUAUUUUACACCAAUGUAUACGUAUUUUAUAACA